Molecule: ribosomal RNA, 732 nt
Filed under: uncultured bacterium
Lineage: Bacteria
Description: bacterial SSU rRNA
Rfam family: Bacterial small subunit ribosomal RNA
Source: RNAcentral
GAGUUUGAUCCUGGCUCAGGAUGAACGCUGGCGGCGUGCUUAACACAUGCAAGUCGAACGGAGAUGUUGCAGCAGAAGCGAAUAGCUUGCUAUGAGUGGAAACGGUGGCAUCUUAGUGGCGGACGGGUGAGUAACGCGUGGGCAACCUGCCCUGCACUGGGGGAUAACACUUAGAAAUAGGUGCUAAUACCGCAUAAUAAAAUAUAUUGCAUGAUAUAUUUUUGAAAGCUGCGGCGGUGCAGGAUGGGCCCGCGUCUGAUUAGCCAGUUGGUGGGGUAACGGCCCACCAAAGCGACGAUCAGUAGCCGGCCUGAGAGGGUGGACGGCCACAUUGGGACUGAGACACAGCCCAAACUCCUACGGGAGGCAGCAGUGGGGGAUAUUGGACAAUGGGGGGAACCCUGAUCCAGCGACGCCGCGUGAGUGAAGAAGUAUUUCGGUAUGUAAAGCUCUAUCAGCAGGGAAGAAAAGAAUGACGGUACCUGAAUAAGAAGCCCCGGCUAACUACGUGCCAGCAGCCGCGGUAAUACGUAGGGGGCAAGCGUUAUCCGGAUUUACUGGGUGUAAAGGGAGCGCAGACGGCAAUGCAAGCCUGGAGUGAAAGGCGGGGGCCCAACCCCCGGACUGCUCUGGGAACUGUAUAGCUAGAGUGCAGGAGAGGCAAGUGGAAUUCCUAGUGUAGCGGUGAAAUGCGUAGAUAUUAGGAGGAACACCAGUGGCGAAGGCGGCUUG